Molecule: ribosomal RNA, 518 nt
Filed under: uncultured bacterium
Lineage: Bacteria
Description: partial 16S ribosomal RNA
Rfam family: Bacterial small subunit ribosomal RNA
Source: RNAcentral
GACGAACGCUGGCGGCGUGCUUAACACAUGCAAGUCGAACGGAGAAUUUAUUUCGGUAAAUUCUUAGUGGCGAACGGGUGAGUAACGCGUGGGCAACCUGCCCUUCAGAUGGGGACAACAUCCCGAAAGGGGUGCUAAUACCGAAUACGAUCACGCUGCCGCAUGGCGGUGUGAUGAAAGAUGGCCUCUAUUUAUAAGCUAUCGCUGAAGGAUGGGCCUGCGUCUGAUUAGCUAGUUGGUGGGGUAACGGCCUACCAAGGCGAUGAUCAGUAGACGGUGUGAGAGGGUGAACGGCCACAUUGGGACUGAGACACGGCCCAAACUCCUACGGGAGGCAGCAGUGGGGAAUAUUCCGGAAUGGAGGAAAGUCUGACGGAGCAACGCCGCGUGAGUGAUGAAGGUUUUCGGACUGUAAAACUCUGUUGUUUAGGACGAAAGUGCCUGUUGCAAAUAGUUGCAGGUAUUGACGGUACUGAACGAGGAAGCCACGGCUAACUACGUGCCAGCAGCCGCCGUAA